RNAcentral lists this ribosomal RNA (432 nucleotides) under Menticirrhus littoralis (Gulf kingcroaker). Its description in RNAcentral is "partial small subunit ribosomal RNA". It matches the Rfam family "Bacterial small subunit ribosomal RNA", at positions 771 to 1405 of the family's 1533-position model. Lineage: Eukaryota; Metazoa; Chordata; Actinopteri; Sciaenidae. The record is from RNAcentral.
ACUGGGAUUUGAUACCCCACUAUGCUUAGUCGUAAACAUUGACAACAACACACACCUGUUGUCCGCCUGGGAACUACGAGCGCCAGCUUAAAACCCAAAGGACUUGGCGGUGCUUUAGAUCCACCUAGAGGAGCCUGUUCUAGAACCGAUACCCCCCGUUCAACCUCACCCUUCCUUGUUCCCCCCGCCUAUAUACCGCCGUCGUCAGCUUACCCUGUGAAGGACUUAUAGUAAGCAAAAUUGGCACAGCCCAAAACGCCAGGUCGAGGUGUAGCGUAUGGAAGGGGAAGAAAUGGGCUACAUUCUCUAAUCUCAGAGAAAACGAAUGAUGCACUGAAACACGCAUCUGAAGGAGGAUUUAGCAGUAAGCAGGAAAUAGAGUGUCCUGCUGAAAUUGGCCCUGAAGCGCGCACACACCGCCGGUCACUCUCC